AAAAGAAAAAGGAAAGGAAAAACUUAUAUUCUACUACGACAACAGAAAGUAUUGAGAAAUACUAUAAGAAUACACCACAGAGAGAGAGAGAGAGAGAAGAGAGAGAGAUGAGAGAAGGUAAGGCCUACAGGUCGGUGGACCCAAUCCAUUAGCCGCAUAACGACAUGGGAUGGUGCGUGAGAGCAGCAUGAACAGCCCUUCCCUUCCCUUCCCCUCUUUCUCUCUUAUUUCGUAUCUNAGAGAGAGAGAGAGAGAGAGAGAGAGAGAGAUGGGUAUACAUAUGGGGAUAGACAUGUAUGUAUUUGUUUAUGCAUAUAUGACAUGAAAUGAUUGAGUAAGUUUAAGAGUUAGCCAUAUUUUAUAAAUCAAAAAAC
Molecule: long non-coding RNA, 374 nt
Filed under: Theobroma cacao (cacao)
Lineage: Eukaryota; Viridiplantae; Streptophyta; Magnoliopsida; Malvales; Malvaceae
Description: long non-coding RNA (TCAC_LNC001435)
Source: RNAcentral